GUGAAUCAUCGAAUCUUUGAACGCAAAUUGCGCCUUUUUCGGAAGGCAUGUGUGUUUGAGGGCACCAUUUAACAAAUAAUGAGCAGCGUUUUUUGUUGCACUCGUUGAUGAGCUUUCCAAGAAUUGUAAUUUUUUGGUGGCGCAUAAUGAACAGCGUUAAAGUUUUUUUCAGUUCGAGUGUAAUAAAAUCUUUUCUUGUUUUGUGAAAAAACAUAAUCUCGCAAU
Molecule: unclassified non-coding RNA, 225 nt
Filed under: Paraglomerales sp.
Lineage: Eukaryota; Fungi; Glomeromycota; Glomeromycetes; Paraglomerales
Description: partial contains 5.8S ribosomal RNA and internal transcribed spacer 2
Rfam family: 5.8S ribosomal RNA (bases 1-65)
Source: RNAcentral